UAGUGGCGAACGGGUGAGUAACACGUGGGCAAUCUGCCCUUCACUCUGGGACAAGCCCUGGAAACGGGGUCUAAUACCGGAUAACACUCUUGCGGGCAUCUGUGAGGGUUAAAAGCUCCGGCGGUGAAGGAUGAGCCCGCGGCCUAUCAGCUUGUUGGUGAGGUAAUGGCUCACCAAGGCGACGACGGGUAGCCGGCCUGAGAGGGCGACCGGCCACACUGGGACUGAGACACGGCCCAGACUCCUACGGGAGGCAGCAGUGGGGAAUAUUGCACAAUGGGCGAAAGCCUGAUGCAGCGACGCCGCGUGAGGGAUGACGGCCUUCGGGUUGUAAACCUCUUUCAGCAGGGAAGAAGCGANAGUGACGGUACCUGCAGAAGAAGCGCCGGCUAACUACGUGCCAGCAGCCGCGGUAAUACGUAGGGCGCAAGCGUUGUCCGGAAUUAUUGGGCGUAAAGAGCUCGUAGGCGGCUUGUCACGUCGAUUGUGAAAGCCCGAGGCUUAACCUCGGGUCUGCAGUCGAUACGGGCUAGCUAGAGUGUGGUAGGGGAGAUCGGAAUUCCU
This 564-nucleotide ribosomal RNA is filed under the name Streptomyces sp. 411F02. Its description in RNAcentral is "bacterial SSU rRNA". It matches the Rfam family "Bacterial small subunit ribosomal RNA", at positions 93 to 671 of the family's 1533-position model. RNAcentral also lists the same sequence under 2 other names. Lineage: Bacteria; Bacillati; Actinomycetota; Actinomycetes; Kitasatosporales; Streptomycetaceae. The record is from RNAcentral.